UACGAAGGGGGCUAGCGUUGUUCGGAUUUACUGGGCGUAAAGCGCACGUAGGCGGAUCGUUAAGUCGGGGGUGAAAUCCUGGAGCUCAACUCCAGAACUGCCUUCGAUACUGGCGAUCUUGAGUCCGGAAGGGGUGAGUGGAACUCCUAGUGUAGAGGUGGAAUUCGUAGAUAUUAGGAAGAACACCAGUGGCGAAGGCGGCUCACUGGUCCGGUACUGACGCUGAGGUGCGAAAGCGUGGGGAGCAAACAGG
RNAcentral lists this ribosomal RNA (253 nucleotides) under uncultured bacterium. Its description in RNAcentral is "partial 16S ribosomal RNA". It matches the Rfam family "Bacterial small subunit ribosomal RNA", at positions 524 to 776 of the family's 1533-position model. The record is from RNAcentral.